UAUUUAUGUUUCUCUUAUAGACUUGUGUACUUGCACUUUUUGAAGAUGAAUGAAUUUAAAUAUAAAUACCAGUACAUUCCUUCCACAAACCUGAGGAGAUCACAACAUCCAGAUUUUAUGCCUCUGGGACAGAAGGCUUUGAAACCCAAAUUGCCAACCUGGUGGAAAUGUUUUUGGUUGAAGUGUACAGGUGCAAAUUUUGUCAGUUCACAAGCAGUAUCAAGAAUAGAAUCAGAACUCCUAUGACUAACAUUCACAAACAGGGUAGAAUUUGCCACAUUUCUGAGUGCCUUGAAAUGGGCCCAGAUGAAGAUGACUCAUACAGCAUAGGGGAUGAAAUCAGCCAAGAAAACAAAGAAAAUGAAGAAAACCUUGCAAAGAUGUCAUUUGUUGCCCAUGUACCAGAUGCUUCAUAAAAUGAGCCCUGAAUGCUGUGAUGUGAGCCUGGGGAGUUACCGUGAUAAUCCUAAUGGCUCUCAUUCUUGUAAGGUAAACACACUGUUUGAAGAAGAAGCAGGUCAGUUUCAGCUUGAGGAGCCCUGCUUAUAUUCCUCUCAUAUUCCACAGACCCCAAUGAAUCUUAAAAAAAGCAAAAAUGAGGAGGAAGCCUAAUUUGAACAUCUCAUGUCACUUGGCCUGUGUCACAUUUCCAGCAUUAAAACUCAAACCUUAGAGGUAGAAGUGAAAACAACUAAAGUUUUCAAACAAGAAAAUAGUAAAAGUCAGAAGAAGGUCAGACCUGAAAACAGUGGCUUAGCUCAGCCUUUGAAAGGUAUUUGCACUUUAAAAUCAAGUGCUGAAAGAAUACAACACUGCAACAUAUGUGACCAAGAACUGAAGUCAAAAGGUGCUUAUAAAAUCCAUGUUAAAUGUCAUGAUGGGGAUGAGGGCUUCAGAUGUGUUUAUUGCAAUUGCUGCAUGACUGAAUAGAACUUAAUGAAAAAUAAUUUAAAAACACACAAGCCGGUAAAAGAGAGCUACCAGUGUCUGAUUUGCGAGAGAAUUUUUAUGUUGCCAAGUACAUGGAAAAUGCACAGGAACAACCAUCAUGGAAAACCUAAUCUCUUUCUUUGCACAAAGUGUUCAUCUUUUUAUGAAACUGAGCAAGUGAGAAAUCUGCAUAUAUCUUUCCAUUAUGGUGACUUGUUUAAAUGUCUGCAUGUGAUUUUAUUGACGGAGAGUGGAGUAAGGUCUGCGAGCAUCUUUGCACCCACAACUACAGUUCCAGACCACAUCCGUGCACCGAAUGUGAAAGAUGGUUCUUCCAAAUGUUAAACUGAAGACAUAUAUGCUAUAAUGCUAAUGCUAUAUACUGAAGGAAAGCUGAACACAUUUCCAUAAAAAUAUUUAUUUAAAAAAUGUCAUGAAUUAUCAUGAAUCAAUUGGGUUCCAAGAUUGCAGCUGCAGUUUUAAAAUAGCUGAGCUGAAAGAGCAUAUGGCAAAACACAAAACUCCCAAACCCUUCCUAUGUUCAUUAUGUGGCCAAGCAUUUAAAUAUAGAUGUCAAAUGAGCAGGCAUCACAAACAUGUCCAUCAAAGACAGAAAGUGAAAGAGAUGAAGAAAAGAAAGAGAACUGAGAAUAGUCUUGUGCACUCUGAUACAAAAAGAACAGCUAGAACAAAAAGAACUCAAAUGAAUUUGUGUGCAGCAUCUGCAACAGGAAAAAGAGAAGAUGAUUUUCAGCUGUGACAAGGCUUGUUUCCUCUCUGGCAGGAAGUGUUCUUCAAAACUGGCUCUACAGAGACACAUGGGAAUACAUGUGAGAAGCCUUUCAAAUAUGAAAUCUACUUUUAUGCCUCAAUUGAUGCAAACUCUCUGCGCAGACAUUUCAGGACUCACAAGUGAGAGGCCUUACAAAUGCGAAAUGUGCUCGUACAGUUGCAUCCAGAAGAAGAGCCUGGACCUCCAUGUGCAACGACAUCACACUGGUGAGGCAUUUGGCUGUAGUUUUUGCUGCUAUUCUUCCCCUAACUAGCAACUCCUCCAGAAGCACGUAAAGAAAUACCAUCUCAGUUCAGAAAUCUCAUUAAUCAGCACCCAGCCCAUCCCUAGCCUCAAACCAUUUCCAAUGGAGCAUUAGGUUCUUCAUGCUUAAAUGUGUACCAGAACAGCUAAUCAAGAAGUAGGUCAGCCAGAAGAGAAGGAGACAUUGAUCCAGUGAGGACAUUAAAAGGACUGGCAAAUGUGACUCAACCUGAGGCUCAAAGAGUGGUCCUUGCAGGAGGCUUCAUAUACACUGUAGUAUAUGCUAUAACUCUGGUUUUCCUGAGAGGAGCAUGGCAUGCUAUGAGUAAAGAGGUUUGUUUUACGUGAGGACUGAGUAUUUUGAUCCAGUUUUCUGACUACCUCAUGCUGACUUGUCCUUCAUUAGAAGUUAGGGAGUUUGACAGUUAAAGGGGGAAUUUAUUGCAAUGCCAGUUUAGGUGCAUUGAAUUCUGCAAAAUCGGUUCUUGGAUGUCAUCUUGCUCAUUUUAAAUAUAGGUACAUAUAUUUAAAUAAGUAAAUGAUUGAAACUGAAAUCUGUUGACGCACUGGCUCUCAGAAUUAGUUAUAUUAGAAAAUAUAUCACUGCUCCCUGGCUUCUCUAUAAUAAUUAUGAUAUGCAAAGUAUGUCUCAAAAGAAACUAAUCAAUGGUAAAAUAAAAAUAUAGACAACAUAUCCGAUAAAUUUGAUUUUAAAAAUUCA
RNA transcript from Dermochelys coriacea (leatherback sea turtle), 2687 nucleotides. It is a transcript of the gene named zinc finger protein 69-like, with no coding region annotated. NCBI's taxonomy places the organism in Eukaryota, Metazoa, Chordata, Testudines, Dermochelyidae. The record is from RefSeq and is a predicted model, not a curated record. The transcript has 7 exons.